Molecule: unclassified non-coding RNA, 520 nt
Filed under: uncultured Entrophospora
Lineage: Eukaryota; Fungi; Glomeromycota; Glomeromycetes; Entrophosporales; Entrophosporaceae
Description: SSU rRNA
Rfam family: Eukaryotic small subunit ribosomal RNA
Source: RNAcentral
AGCAGCCGCGGUAAUUCCAGCUCCAAUAGCGUAUAUUAAAGUUGUUGCAGUUAAAAGCUCGUAGUUGAAUUUCGGGAUUGGCGCAUCGGUCGUGCCUCACGGGGUAUGAACUGGUGCAGUCAAUUUCUCACCUUCUGGAGAACCGCGAUGUCCUUAAUUGGAUGCCGCGGGGAACCAGGGCCUUUACUUUGAAAAAUUGAGUGUUUAAAGCAGGCAUUUUUGCUUGAAUACAUUAGCAUGGAAUAAUAAAAUAGGACGGCAUGGUUCUAUUUUGUUGGUUUCUAGGACCACCGUAAUGAUUAAUAGGGAUAGUUGGGGGCAUUAGUAUUCAAUUGUCAGAGGUGAAAUUCUUGGAUUUAUUGAAGACUAACUACUGCGAAAGCAUUUGCCAAGGAUGUUUUCAUUAAUCAAGAACGAAAGUUAGGGAUCGAAGACGAUCAGAUACCGUCGUAGUCUUAACCAUAAACUAUGACCGACUAGGAAUCAGACGAUUGUUAAUUUUUAAUGUACUCGUUUGGCU